UGGUGGAUCAUGGAUGGGACAGAUGUCUGUUCAGUUCUCUUCCGUUCAGCCAAGUGGGGUUCGAUGCAACACAUAUUACUAGAUAGAUAUUAGUGAUUCAGAAAGCUAAUUGCAAUAGUGGUCAUUAAAUUAAUAUUUUAAAAAUAUACACUAACUAAAACUGCAGUUUAAAAUAUCCUAAAAUAUACUGAUGCAAAGGAUUUGGCGAGAUUUCUCUACACAAUCGAACCAAAAACUUACGUUUCAGGGCUACACUUGGAAAAAGGAAGAACAGGGCAUGAUGGGAAGAGAAUCUGACGUGUUGGGCUAGAUCGCAUACACUGAAAUGAGAUCUUCAUCUUUACACGCGAGUUCACACGCAAACAUAAUGUAGGGGCCUACCUAGGGCUUAUGUGCAGUUAUUUGAGCAUUCCAAUUUUCCAAAGUACGGUGUGUUUGCAAAAUGGCGAGUAAUGUUAAUGAUAAUGGUUAUGAGUAUGACGCACUCCUGUGGUAUCACGAAGAUGACUCUAAAUUUGCAAAGGAGAUGUUGAGAACUCUAGAGGGAAAGAAUGUCACUGUUUAUAUUGAAGCUAGGGAUAGACAAGGAGGAAAAUAUACACUGACUGAGUAUACAGAAACUAUAAGAAAAUCUCGUUACAUCUUCCUUCUAAUUUCCGAAUCAACAAAAAGUUGUGGAACUUUCGAAUUCCAAAUGCAUCAAAGUUUGCAGAAUUCACUAAUGAACCGGCUGCAGAAUGUUAUUCCAGUUCUGAUAAAUGUUACGGAAGUACCAGAUAUUUUGAUGUCUCUGGCACCUCUAAAGUUGGAUGAAUUUUUUAAUAAGAGGCUCUUAGAUUUAUUUAGACAAAUAUAAGCCACAUAGUUGCAGGCCACACAAUUUUAUAUAUUUGUACUUAAUCUAAACAUUUUUUUUUGUAGAAACCAAACAGAUCUUGCAAUAUUUAGAAUAGAAUAUCAUUAUCCACCAUCCAAGUAUAUUAGAUAAAUAAUAAUAACUGUUUGACUAGGAACAUGUUGUAAUACAGUAAUCGUAUCAAUAUUAGAUCAAUGAAUAGUCCCUUAUUUCAUUUGUACUGUAUGAAAAAUGCGCCUCGGGCGGAAUUGGAACCUGCAACCUCUUGCAACCAAAGGCAAGUGUCAUGCCUAUUAACCACGGAUAGUGUAUACAUGCAGAUAUAACUGCCAGGCAGGCUUUCUUCCAUGAACUGACUAGGAAAGCAUAAUAAGCAAUAUUCAAAGGUUAGCUGCAUAGCAUGGUAAACACAAUACAGUACAUUAAAACAAAUGGAUAGAUACAGUAAUAAUGACAGUGCUUGAAUAGGAAAGAGAUGUUAUAACAUCUUGACUUAAUUUCACAAAUACUGUAUUUAAAAGCGACUCUAAAUCUCGGGAAGUUUUAUUCUCACUUAUUGAACUAUGAGGCCUCCCAAAGCAUCUAACUUUGAAAGACACUGAUUGGUAGAUAUAGAAAAUUACUAUUCCUAAAAUACUGUUUUUUAAUGUGGUCUUUAUGACAAAAAAUAUUAAAAUAUAAUUUGAACUCUAAUUUUAAUGAAGAUGGAUUAAUUGAUAGUGUUAAGAGAGCAUUUCAGAUACUGUAUAUCUGUUUUAUAGAAUGUAAGGAAGAGACCUUUUAUCACAACUUUUAAGAAUCAACUUAAAAAUACUGAUUACUUAAAAUGCUCUUCGACAGUUGUUAUCACAAAAAAAAAAUCUAAUAUAAUUUGAAAUCCAAUUUUAAUGAAGUUGGAUUGACUGAGAGUGUUAAGACAGUUGUAUCCGUUUUUUAGAAUGUAAGGGAAAAGACCUUUUAUCACUACUUUUAGUCUAAUUCAUACUCAUCAUGAUUGAAAUUGGUCAUUUGACUUCCAUUUGUAAUUUUAUGUGUUUUGUGAUGUAUUUGGAUUUGAUGUGUUUUAUCCCUCCAUUUCAGAGGUUUUUGGAGAAACUGAAAUAACAUUACAAUAUUGACUGUGGAAUGAACUGUUAUACAUUGGCUGUUCUGGUUAAUUCCACCUCUUACAAAUGUCUUUAAUAUUACUGUACUUUUGUACACUAUUCAUUUUCUUUAUUUUUUGAUAUGGACAAUGGAUGUCUGAAAUACAAUUUGAAUUAAAUGGAUAAAUUUUAAGUAUACAGA
RNAcentral lists this unclassified non-coding RNA (2143 nucleotides) under Anneissia japonica. Its description in RNAcentral is "uncharacterized LOC117115553, transcript variant X3". The record is from RNAcentral. Lineage: Eukaryota; Metazoa; Echinodermata; Crinoidea; Comatulida; Comatulidae.